UCACCAUGGCAUAUGGAGGUUCCCAGGUUGGGGGUCCAAUUGGAUAUGCAGUUGCCGGCCUACACCACAGCCACAGCAACAUGGGAUCCGAGCUGCAUCUGAGACCUACAUCACAGUUCAUGGCAACACCGGAUCCUUAACUCCCUGAGUGAGGUCAGGGAUUGAACCCACGUCCUCAUGGUUUCUAGUCAGAUUCGUUUCCGCUGCACAACAGGAACUUCGUUUAUGAUUUAGGCUGUGGAUAUGUCAGCUCCCCGGCAAGGAUUAGGUUUGUGAGGGCUGGCCAUGGUGGCAGCUCCAGUGACAGUGGUCAGCAGUCCUCUCUUUAGGUGCUGUGAACAGGACAUGAUAUACUUUCACCUGACAAGUGCACUUUAGUCCUUUACCCUGACUCCUCCCGUGUGUGGCCUGGACUGGUGGUGUGCUUCUCCAGGUGAGAGCCCUCCCUAGCAGAGCAGGAUCUAUUUAAAAAAAAAAAAUGGAGCAUCAGGCCUUUCUAGCCUAUCUGGAAGACAGUGGGAGGAAGGAGGGCAGGCAAGGAGCUGGGGACUAGAUAGCAGGUAGACACUCAUGAUUUACAAAAGACAGGAAGCCUUGUGUGAUUUCAGACAAGUUCUCUUCCUUUAGAAUGUUGUCUGCAUUGCUAGCUGAAAAUAGUAGAAACCUUAGAAAUUGCUAGACAUAAAAAAAAAAAAAUGACUGGAGGGUUGUAAUAAGGAGGCUAUGUUUAUAUUUUUCAGGUUAUUGAUAUCAGAAGUAGUAAGAGACUACACUUAUAAUAGAUACUUAUGGUUGAAUUAGUUUAAAAGAUGACUAGAAAAACUCCACUUUUCAUUUAAAACUUUCUUUUGUUUUAGUUCUCAAUACUAAUAUUGGCUGUUGUUUUUAACUAAGGCUGAAUCUAAUUUGUCAGUCUGGAGUGUCAUUUUCAAUGUCAACUUUUAGCUGUGUGGUAUAAAAACUGUAUUUUUGUUUGAUAGUUUCUUUUAAAUUUUACUAAAAUAAUUGUUUCUCUUCUGAGGGCCUUUUUAUGAAUGUGAAGCUUAUUGAAGAUAUAUGAUCAUUCAGUAAAACCUAGCUAGUAGUUUUAGGGUAGAAACGUGUAUUUUCCCAACACAGCACCUUUUCCUUAUCAUCUAUUCUGUUAACCAAAACAAUGCCCAAGAAAGGUAAAAUGUGUAUAAUAUAUAUGUGUGUACAUAUAUGAUUUUACCUCUUAAUAAUCUACUGCAGACAAUCCGCAUUGGUUGUAAUUUGAAAAAUUAUAGAAUCUCAGAGGGUAUUAGUAAGUUGAAUAAUUCAUUACUACACAUGAAUAAAAAUAAGUAUUAAUUGAACUAAAUUAUUCAAUUGAAAAUUUGGAUACUUUGGAAAACAUAAAAGCUUUAGGAAGUUUCUGGAUACAACCUUUGCUUUGAAAAUCCUCCCGAAGUAUAGUGCGUGUUCAUGAAUUCCACUAUAUUUAUAGGCUAAAAGUAAACAUGCAUCAAUAUUAUUUUCUAGAACUCAUACCAAGACUAGUUUUGUUUGAUUAGUACUUGGAAAUAAACUGAUGAAGACUUGAUAGAGGUCUCAGGACACCCACCCUCUUCAGUAGAAAGAGCUCAUUAUUGGAAGGUGUUUGUGCUCUUUAGUUUUGCUUUUCUGCUGAAAUGUGUCUGCAGAGCAUCUAAUUUCUAGGUAAAUUUAAGGGUUAUCAGCUCAUUUUCAAUAAUUAAACAAAGUGAAAGAUCUGUUGAUUCUUUCUUAUUACCCCUGUUGUCCUUUGGCUUUAUGCCUGUGUCAACUUUAAUUUCUGAUUACAGAGCCAGUGCUUCAGUAAUUGGCUCUUAGAAAAUGAAAUAGCUACUAAAAGAUAAAACUUUUAAAACCUAUGUUUCUAAAUUUAACUGGCCAUUAUAUGCUCUUACUUUUCAGGCAUCCUGUGCUUUGCAAUUAAUUCAACAAAUAUUUUGGCUGCUUAUUUCAUGGGAGAAGUUCACCUAAGAUUCUAGAUGGGAUAUAGAAAUGAAAUGCAUAGGUGCCUUGCCACAAAUAAGCUUAUUGGUGGUGAUGAUUGGCAAUUUGGAUUUAUGCUCUGACCUAUUUUCUGUUCUGUGAGUGGUGACAGAGAGUCCAAGAUCUUAGUUUUUUGUUUUGGUAUUACUGUUUUUUUUUUUUUUAAUCUGUGCACUCAAAGAAAUUCUUUGAGAUCAGCACUAAUGAGGUUUUUUGUUUGUUUUUCUGAUUAUUUUGAUCUGUGUCUAAAGCUGUAGAACUGAAUGUAAAAGGUAGAACUGAAGUUGUAGAACUCUAUGUAUCUGUGUCUGUAAUUCAGGAAAAAUCCACUUAUCAUGUGAUUAUAAUGUAUUUUCCUACCCUUUCCAGGUAUAGUUCAUUAGAUUGUUAUGAAAUUUAUAGAUGUUUUUCCUUAAUGGUUAUAGAGGUAAAUAAAGCAGUUGUAUAGAGUCAAUAUUCCCCAAAUUCACACACCUGAAAGCUGAUCUUCUAAUACUGUGCUAGACUUAAAAUAGCCUUCAUACAGAAACUACUAAAUAAAAAUAGUUAAGACUACAAGUUCACAAAUUAAGGUGAAUAGUUGAAUACAUUAGAUUGACUUAGUAAUUUUACCUUAAGAAAACCGUUAUACAGCUUUUCUCUGAUUUUUCAGUUUUAAGCAUAGUAUAUGCAUACAUUACUCCUACAUAGUGUUUGAGAUUAUAAAAUAUUUUCAAAUAUAUUUAACAAUAAUUUAGACCAUUGAUUUUGUAAUAGUAAUUAUAUUUUGCAGAGUGGCAGCUUAAACGUGAUUUCAAGGCUUGAGAUAAUUUUAAAACUUGGAUUAAUAUUAAUUGAAUUAAUAAAUAAUAUUUUGGAUAACAAUUUUUAUGUAAGAUAGAAUAAUAAAAUAAUGCUAAAGGUAAUUUAAAUUUUUUAUAUUUUUGGUUCUUAAUGUGUGUCUCACAUCAAUGAAUGUGUUCAUUUUUUUCCACUUCUGAAAGAUAUAAUGGGGAUGAAUGCGGCUACUGAAAAUCGUGCGAUGUAUGUUUAUGAGCUUUGCUGCCCUGCUAAAACGGUGGGUAUGACAGACAGCUCUCAGUACCUGCCACCCAGUUUUCUCUAUGAGAUAGAAGUUAUAACAUUUGCUAAAAGUCAUAACUAACUUCACUAAAAGCAAUGGUGACAAAGGAACACAAGUGUGUAAGUGCUUUUGCUUCUCAAGAAAAAAAGUAAGACUAGUGUUUUCCUAAAGUAAAUUAUUAGUUAGUUCCAGUAAAGGAAGAUUUGUGAAAGAUAGUGAGUAUGGCAAGUUGUAGGGUGAUUGAGGAAAGUAAAUUUUAUUUGGCUUGCUUUAUAAUAUCUGAAUCUGAUAAGAAAUAAUGAAAUGUAUUAAAUAUUUAGCAGAGUUUGCUCAGUGUUGAUAGAGUUAUUCACAAGACAGUUUAAGGAACUAGAAGGAUCCCAUGAAAACUUCGCUGCCAAGGACUGCACUAAUACAAAACUGGAAAGUAAUUCACUCUAUUUAAAUAAUAAUUUUCUCUUAGAAUUAACCAAGAAUGAAAAGGUUUUCUUUACUUGCUGUGAGUAAUUUUCCUAUAGGUCAGAGAUUUUGUACCUCAGCAAUAAUUUUCUCAGAUUUGUGUUGACCUUAACAUGUCCUUGGUUAUUUACAAAAACAAAAUAAAACAAACAUAUGCAAAACAAAAAAAAA
Molecule: long non-coding RNA, 3691 nt
Filed under: Sus scrofa (pig)
Lineage: Eukaryota; Metazoa; Chordata; Mammalia; Artiodactyla; Suidae
Description: lncRNA (ENSSSCG00060006704.1)
Source: RNAcentral